RNAcentral lists this transfer RNA (72 nucleotides) under Pelagophyceae sp. CCMP2097. RNAcentral describes it as "tRNA-Met". It matches the Rfam family "tRNA". From Rfam's summary of the family: Transfer RNA (tRNA) molecules are approximately 80 nucleotides in length. Their secondary structure includes four short double-helical elements and three loops (D, anti-codon, and T loops). Further hydrogen bonds mediate the characteristic L-shaped molecular structure. tRNAs have two regions of fundamental functional importance: the anti-codon, which is responsible for specific mRNA codon recognition, and the 3' end, to which the tRNAs corresponding amino acid is attached (by aminoacyl-tRNA synthetases). tRNAs cope with the degeneracy of the genetic code in two manners: having more than one tRNA (with a specific anti-codon) for a particular amino acid; and 'wobble' base-pairing, i.e. permitting non-standard base-pairing at the 3rd anti-codon position. Lineage: Eukaryota; Pelagophyceae. The record is from RNAcentral.
AGCUCGAUAGCGCAGUGGUAGCGUGCUGGGCCCAUAACCCAGAGGUCGAUUGAUCGAAACAAUCUCGAGCUA